This 497-nucleotide ribosomal RNA is filed under the name uncultured bacterium. RNAcentral describes it as "partial 16S ribosomal RNA". It matches the Rfam family "Bacterial small subunit ribosomal RNA", at positions 28 to 507 of the family's 1533-position model. The record is from RNAcentral.
GAUGAACGCUGGCGGCGUGCCUAAUACAUGCAAGUCGAGCGAACGGACGCGAAGCUUGCUUCUCUGAUGUUAGCGGCGGACGGGUGAGUAACACGUGGAUAACCUACCUAUAAGACUGGGAUAACUUCGGGAAACCGGAGCUAAUACCGGAUAAUAUUUUGAACCGCAUGGUUCAAAAGUGAAAGACGGUCUUGCUGUCACUUAUAGAUGGAUCCGCGCUGCAUUAGCUAGUUGGUAAGGUAACGGCUUACCAAGGCAACGAUGCAUAGCCGACCUGAGAGGGUGAUCGGCCACACUGGAACUGGGACACGGUCCAGGCGCCUACGGGAGGCAGCAGUAGGGAAUCGUCCGCAAUGGGCGGAAGCCUGACGGAGCAGCGCCGCGUGAGUGGUGAAGGUCUUCGGAUCGGAAAACUCUGUUAUUAGGGAAGAACAUAUGUGUAAGGAACUGUGCACAUCUUGACGGUACCUAGUCAGAAAGCCACGGCUAACUACGUG